This 206-nucleotide non-coding RNA is filed under the name Calidifontibacillus erzurumensis. Its description in RNAcentral is "6S / SsrS RNA". It matches the Rfam family "6S / SsrS RNA". Rfam says of the family: E. coli 6S RNA was the first non coding RNA to be sequenced, but its function was unknown until recently. It consists of 184 nucleotides that fold into an extended hairpin structure with a large single-stranded internal bulge. The record is from Rfam by way of RNAcentral. Lineage: Bacteria; Bacillati; Bacillota; Bacilli; Caryophanales; Bacillaceae.
AAAGUCCUGAGGUGUACGUGAUUCGACCUAACAGUUUUGACCGAACAUUUACACAUAGGGAGCUUGGAGUUUUCAAGUGGCGUACAUGCCUCAUUUAAAUUUGGCAAUCCUGCCAAUAGAGGACGUACAAUAUUUGAAACAGAGCACCCACCUGCCUUUAGCGGGUUCAAAACAAGGGGGAAAUUACGACACGGAUCGGGACUUUC